RNAcentral lists this transfer RNA (72 nucleotides) under Vicugna pacos (alpaca). RNAcentral's name for it is "tRNA-Ala (AGC) (tRNA-Ala-AGC-268-1)". It matches the Rfam family "tRNA". Rfam says of the family: Transfer RNA (tRNA) molecules are approximately 80 nucleotides in length. Their secondary structure includes four short double-helical elements and three loops (D, anti-codon, and T loops). Lineage: Eukaryota; Metazoa; Chordata; Mammalia; Artiodactyla; Camelidae. The record is from Rfam by way of RNAcentral.
GGGGGUAUAGCUCAGGGGUAGAGCGCAUGCUUAGCAUGCAUGAGGUCCUGGGUUCAAUCCCUAGUACCUUCA